CCUACGGGAGGCAGCAGUAGGGAAUCUUGCGCAAUGGGCGAAAGCCUGACGCAGCAACGCCGCGUGGGGGAUGAAUGCCUUCGGGUUGUAAACCCCUUUCAGCAGGAACGCGGUACCUGCAGAAGAAGGUCCGGCCAACUACGUGCCAGCAGCCGCGGUAACACGUAGGGGCCAAGCGUUGUCCGGAUUUAUUGGGCGUAAGAGCUCGUAGGCGGUUCGACAAGUCGGGUGUGAAAACUCCGGGCUCAACCCGGAGACGCCACCCGAUACUGCGUGACUGGAGUCCGGUAGGGGAGUGGGGAAUUCCUGGUGUAGCGGUGAAAUGCGCAGAUAUCAGGAGGAACACCGGUGGCGAAGCGCCACUCUGGGCCGGACUGACGCUGAGGAGCGAAAGCGUGGGUAGCAAACAGGAUUAGAUACCCUUGUAGUC
This 430-nucleotide ribosomal RNA is filed under the name uncultured bacterium. RNAcentral's name for it is "partial 16S ribosomal RNA". It matches the Rfam family "Bacterial small subunit ribosomal RNA", at positions 338 to 795 of the family's 1533-position model. The record is from RNAcentral.